This 1490-nucleotide unclassified non-coding RNA is filed under the name Hevea brasiliensis (rubber tree). The record is from RNAcentral. Lineage: Eukaryota; Viridiplantae; Streptophyta; Magnoliopsida; Malpighiales; Euphorbiaceae.
UGCAAUAGUGGAUAUUUGUUUGAGCUUUUUCCUUGUCCUUCUCAAAAUGGGAACUGAUUGAAUUCGUAAGCCUCGUUGGAUUUGGAGCCUCUUCUUUUAGGUAAUUUUACAAUAUAUUUUAUUUUUCCCCUUUUUUAAUAUUUAUUUUUAAAAUUUUUUUAUAAUAUUUGUAUAAUUAUUUGUUUGUUUGGUUUGAAUUUAUGCACUGUUUGUGUUUGAUAACCAAGAAACUGGAGGAAAACGAGUGGCACCAAAAAUACUGUAUGCCUAUUUUGAUACUUUCGGAGAAACACAGUGAAGGCAGUUUUAGAAUCCGCGUAAUAGCAGGGUAGAAAAUGUUGGUGGAAACAUAUUUCCCUAAUUAUAAAGAGCUGAUUUCCGAUGCCCAUUCGUUUCUAUAUGCUUAAUGUUAAAAGGAUCCAUCCACAUUAAUAAUUAAAAUUUUGAAGAACGAAUGCUUUGAAAAAUGCUUCUUGAAGUAAGAAUUGUGUAAGCAUUAAGCUCCUAUAAAGAAAGUUUCAUGUGAAAAAGCAAGCUUUCAGACAAAUUGCAGAAUGCUUACACUCCCUAUAAUUUUUUAGCAAGCUGAUCACCAUUAAAGUUUCAAACUUUAAAAUUCAUGGGAAAUUUUAAGAUAAAGCUACAUAAUAAUCUCAGAAGAAAUUAUUUCUAGAACUGAAAAGAAACAAAGGAAAAGACAGAAAGUGCACUUCAGAAUAAGUACUGUUGGCUUGGUAUUGGUUUGGGAUGGACGGAGGGCUUCAGAAUAAGGCGAUUUAAAGUGAUCCAUGUAUACUGAUCUCUAAAUUCUUGCAAUUAUAUUUCUGAUUUGCAAUUGUACUUCAGUCAAAUAUGUUUUGCUAAUUUCUUUAGUAUCAACUUCAGAUAAUUUCAUUGUUUUAAUUUUAUAAUUCCUGUAUUAUGUGUUAUGCCAAUGUCAUUAUUCUUCACACGCACAAAAGAGAAUGAAGAGAGAAGAACAGUGGUAAAGCUAUUUCUGCCUUCCAGUUUCAUCUUCUCUCUUUCUUAUCCUUUCUCCUUUGUUUUUUUCUUUCUUUCCCUUUUUCUACACUCUCUCUUGCCUUCCCUCAUUCUUCUUUUCUUCAACAUGAGGUACACAGAAUCACCAUUGGCACCACAUCAUCAGGGUUUCAAAUAACAGCCAUUAGGAAAUGUAAUCGCCCUUACGUAAGCAACGACCGUUAUUUAUAGGUUUUGGAAAGGCCCAUUGCACAAUACACCGUUAUUUGCAGGCAAACUUAGAGUUGUAGGUGUAACGGCCAUUACAACUUAUUUACCAUUAUGCAAUGAUAACGGCUUGCUGCAAUCACAUGAAAAUAGUGUUAUUUUGGUUCUCAUUUUAUUUGUUUGUGUAUUCUCUCUUCCACAACUGCUAUAUCUCUCAUAUUAUCUUAAAUUUUUCCAAAUUUCUCAUUUCUUCAAUAAAUUCUCUUCCUUAUUUUUUGCUAAGCUAAAAUCAUCAUUAAAUA